GAAAUGCGAUAAGUAGUGUGAAUUGCAGAAUUCAGUGAAUCAUCGAAUCUUUGAACGCACAUUGCGCCCCUUGGUAUUCCAUGGGGCAUGCCUGUUCGAGCGUCAUUUGUACUCUCAAGCCUUGCUUGGUGUUGGGUGAUUGUCUUUGCUGUGCUUAGACUCGCCUUAAAUAUAUUGGCAGCCGAUAUAGAGGUUUGAAUUGCAGCACAAUUUGCGAUUUUGACUUGUUUUAUUAGCAUCCAUUAGGAUUAUUUAACGUUUGACCUCGGAUCAGGUAGGGAUACCCGCUGAACUUAA
This 297-nucleotide unclassified non-coding RNA is filed under the name uncultured Phaeosphaeria. Its description in RNAcentral is "sequence contains ITS1". The stretch from base 1 to 105 matches the Rfam family "5.8S ribosomal RNA", at positions 50 to 154 of the family's 154-position model. The record is from RNAcentral. Lineage: Eukaryota; Fungi; Ascomycota; Dothideomycetes; Pleosporales; Phaeosphaeriaceae.